ACCCUCUCAGGAUCACACCUGGAGAGUUUCCGGUAUUCUACCAGCCUCAGCUACGGGAGGGAGAAUCAAACAGAGGCACCAUACCCAUUCCACUCCUAGCUUGGGCACUGGCUAGACAGUGGAAGGCAAUCUGCUACAGAU
Molecule: small nucleolar RNA, 141 nt
Organism: Tachyglossus aculeatus (Australian echidna)
Lineage: Eukaryota; Metazoa; Chordata; Mammalia; Monotremata; Tachyglossidae
Source: RefSeq, a predicted model, not a curated record